UACAUGCAGUCGACGCACAGCGAAGGGUGCUUGCACCUUUCAAGUGAGUGGCGAACGGGUGAGUAACACGUGGACAACCUGCCUCAAGGCUGGGGAUAACAUUUGGAAACAGAUGCUAAUACCGAAUAAAACUUAGUGUCGCAUGACAAAAAGUUAAAAGGCGCUUCGGCGUCACCUAGAGAUGGAUCCGCGGUGCAUUAGUUAGUUGGUGGGGUAAAGGCCUACCAAGACAAUGAUGCAUAGCCGAGUUGAGAGACUGAUCGGCCACAUUGGGACUGAGACACGGCCCAAACUCCUACGGGAGGCUGCAGUAGGGAAUCUUCCACAAUGGGCGAAAGCCUGAUGGAGCAACGCCGCGUGUGUGAUGAAGGCUUUCGGGUCGUAAAGCACUGUUGUAUGGGAAGAACAGCUAGAAUAGGAAAUGAUUUUAGUUUGACGGUACCAUACCAGAAAGGGACGGCUAAAUACGUGCCAGCAGCCGCGGUAAUACGUAUGUCCCGAGCGUUAUCCGGAUUUAUUGGGCGUAAAGCGAGCGCAGACGGUUUAUUAAGUCUGAUGUGAAAGCCCGGAGCUCAACUCCGGAAUGGCAUUGGAAACUGGUUAACUUGAGUGCAGUAGAGGUAAGUGGAACUCCAUGUGUAGCGGUGGAAUGCGUAGAUAUAUGGAAGAACACCAGUGGCGAAGGCGGCUUACUGGACUGCAACUGACGUUGAGGCUCGAAAGUGUGGGUAGCAAACAGGAUUAGAUACCCUGGUAGUCCACACCGUAAACGAUGAACACUAGGUGUUAGGAGGUUUCCGCCUCUUAGUGCCGAAGCUAACGCAUUAAGUGUUCCGCCUGGGGAGUACGACCGCAAGGUUGAAACUCAAAGGAAUUGACGGGGACCCGCACAAGCGGUGGAGCAUGUGGUUUAAUUCGAAGCAACGCGAAGAACCUUACCAGGUCUUGACAUCCUUUGAAGCUUUUAGAAGAUAGAAGUGUUCUCUUCGGAGACAAAGUGACAGGUGGU
Molecule: ribosomal RNA, 1009 nt
Filed under: Leuconostoc mesenteroides
Lineage: Bacteria; Bacillati; Bacillota; Bacilli; Lactobacillales; Lactobacillaceae
Description: bacterial SSU rRNA
Rfam family: Bacterial small subunit ribosomal RNA
Source: RNAcentral